RNAcentral lists this transfer RNA (62 nucleotides) under bovine gut metagenome. It matches the Rfam family "tRNA", at positions 6 to 65 of the family's 71-position model. Rfam says of the family: Transfer RNA (tRNA) molecules are approximately 80 nucleotides in length. Their secondary structure includes four short double-helical elements and three loops (D, anti-codon, and T loops). The record is from RNAcentral.
AGUAGCUCAGUUGGUAGAGCAUCAGCUUCCCAAGCUGAGGGUCGCGGGUUCGAGCCCCGUUU